UUCUUACUAAAAUGCCAUCACUCCACAUUUUUUUAGCUGUGUCCUUGGCAUGUGGAAGGAAUCAAACCUAGGCCACAGCAGUGAUAAUGCCCAGUCCUUAACCGCUGGUUGAACUCCACCAACUACAUUUUAAUUAAAAGUUAUAAGGGCAGGAAGUCAUAAGAGUGCUUUAAUAACUGGCAUUAUCCAAUGCCCUGCAUUUUUCUAGCCUCAGAUCUCCACUUAAUUCACAAAUGGAAAAGCAUCCAUAUGAAUCCUAUGUUUUCAAGGCAAAAAUCUACAGGUUAUUGUGUAAUGCAAUAUUAAUUUUAUAACUUUCAAAAACUCAUAUGGGAUCUUUGGAUAACUCUUCAUUCAUCCUUUUAAAGCUCAAAAUUAACUAAAAAGUUAUAAAUCUAUACCAGAAGUCUGGGUGGGAGAUGAAACAGGAGGCUUAAAAUCUUGAAAUUCCCUUUUUCCCAAUCAGUCCCUGGCCCCAUUAGUUUUCCCCCAAAUCUUCUAUUUCACCUUCUUACUCUGUGUUACUGGGGCUCAUUUGCUACCUUAUUUAUUUUAUUAUUUCCUCAGAAACUUUUUCCUACCCCAAGGUUAUACGUUCAAGGAGAUUUCUAAUUUUUGGUAAUUCAUAGUUUGUUUAACAGAGGCUCAGAAGAUACGGAGUUAAUGUUAUGAUCAUCAGCAUUAUUUGCAACAUUUUGCAAAGGUUUGUUGGCCUUUUCUUUUUUUUUUUUUUCCUUUUUAGAGCUGCACUCGUAUGGCAUAUGGAAGUUCACAGGCUAGAGCUUCAGGUGCUGGCCACAGCCAUAGGCACAGCCACAGCAACGUGGGAUCCGAGCUACAUCCACAACCUACACCACAGCUCAUGGCAACUCUGGAACCUUAACCCACUGAGGGAGGCCAGGGAUCAAAUCCACAUCCUCAUGGAUACGUCGAGUUCAUUACAGCUGAGCCACACCAGGAACUUCCAGUUUGUUGGUCUUUAAACUUGACCUUCAAACAAGAGAAUUACUUAUAUUGGCAUUUCUCAACCUCGGCACUCUUGAUAUGCUGGGAGCCCAAUGAGUCUUGUUUGCGGGGGCCAUCCUAUAUCUUGCAGGAAUUUUAGCAGCAUCCCCAGCCCCUACUCGCUAGACGCCAGAAGUCUUCCCCCAAGUUGUGACAGCCAAAGUUAUCCCCAGACACUGCCAAAGGCCCCCGGGGAAGCAAAAGUCACCAAGGGUUGAGAACCACCGGUUGAAAUGAUGAGGAUGCUGAUAACAAGAUCUUAUCAUGUGCCAGAAACUAUCCUAAGUAUUUUAAGUGCACAUUAUCUGAGUCACAAGAAAGGUUCUGUGAUUUCCACAUUAUAGAUGAGACAGUUUGAGCACAGAGAAGUUACUAAGACAUUUAGCAUCACGUGGCCAGUGAAUAAGACAGCUGGGAUUCAGACUCAAGCAGAGUGACCUUGGAGUCUGUAUUUUCCUUUGUCAGGCUACAGCUGCUUUGCUGAAAUCACACAAGCAACACUGAAAUCCAGAAAAAACAUGGAUCAUUUGGGGUUUAAAUUCUUUUUCAUGAUGUCAAACAUUUAAAUCUUGGAAAAUAGACUUCCUACAAAUUCAAAAUCUGUCCAGAUAAGUAGGUCCUCUUCUUCCCUUAGUCCUAUUCACUGAACUGGCAAAUUCUAUCAAAGACCAGGUUUCCCAGGCAAAGAAGUAAAGUUCACAAGGAAUUAGAUUCCUGAGAUGACAUCCUAACAAAACCAUGGUCAUGAGUAUGAGAUCCAUGAAUACCAAAAGGCUGCUAAUACGUUUUAUUAUCUUAUUGUCAUCAUUUGAAUAACGAGGGUCUGUUUAUUUUUAUUAGAAGAAAAUAAUUAAAAUUAGCUUAAAGCACUUUUCCUAUGUCCCUUAGCAUUCAAAUACCAUUUUAUCUUAUUUAUUUAUAGCAUUCGUUCCACAAAAAGUAACCAGCGAAAAUUAAAUUUCUUUUCCCACCUCUCCCUCUUAACUCUGUGUGGCAGAGGUUCUAUUUCUGUACGAAAUAAAAACUAUCAUACUAUAUAUUUGAUAAAGGCUUUGCCUUUGGGUCUUCAUAAAAUGUGCUCGUCUUUUUCUCUAAAACCUUCUUCCAAUUUGUUUCAAUCUGACUAUUAAUUGUUUAAAAGGAGCAUAGUGUAAUAACCAAAGUUUUCUAUCUACUCAAGCACAAUUAAUUUAUAUAAUAUGAAAUACAUGACAUUAUUAUUUUCUUUCAAGCUUCUAGGAAAGUUGGUUGAAAUAAUAGUAAUAACCCAGACUGCUUAACUUACAUUUAUGGAUUUGUUUCUAUAUGCCAUUCACUAUUUUAACAGUUAUUCAUAUAUUAACUCUUUUAAUCAAGUAACAACCUUUAGGUAGGUACAUUUAACAUCUCUAUUUUGGAAUGAAAAACCAGAACCCCAGAGAGAUUAAAGAGUCUGAUCAAAGUCACACAGCUCGGAAACUAUUUAGCUGGUUUAUUUGGCAAGAAAACUGUGCUGGCAUCCCUUACGUAUACGGCUUUCCUAAAGUGUGGCAAUUAUCAUCGCAUAUAACAUUAUUCAUUAUUGUAAUAGGUGGAGAGAUGAAUUCAAUUAGACACAGUAGGAAAAAUGUACUUGGUCUCUUAAAAAUUGUACCAUCUGUGAAAUUCUUGGCAGCAGAGGAUAAGAACUUUGUCUUAUGAAGACGUGAAUUAAUAAAAUUGUAAAAAUGGUUUUGAAUCCAGUGAUUCUAAAUGAGGACUUAGACAGUUAAUGGAUUUUCCUUCUUCCCCUCUCCUGAGCUCAAAUAUCUGGGUCCUCCAUGCCUUUCACGUCAUCCGUGUCAGUGACACCAAGUUCUCCGGUUUGCUUGCUUCAGUCCUGGAUUAUACUGGCCCUGGUGUUCUUUGCUAUUUACACUUUCCCAAAUUUCUCAUAUUUGACCAAAACUUUCAUACAAUAAUUGUAUUAAAAUAAGCCAGAAUGAGUUAAGUCAAUCUCCCUUUUACUUCCAGUUUCUGCUGUCAUUUCAUCUUGCGGUACGUUUGUUCUGAGAAUGGAGAGGCCACAAGCCUCUCUCUUCAUUUGAUCUUUUCCAGAUGCAACAGAUAACUACUACCUCCCUUUCCAGGACAGCAUGCAGGGUGCCAGCUGAUAAAAUAAAAUAUGCUUUGCGAGAAGCAGCUCCGGACAGUUACUCCCCUGCGGUCUUGUAUGUUGACAGUGAGAGAAGAAAUCUGCCCAUCUGCCCCUGCGGGUCCCUUGGUCUUAGCAGCUAGUUUGUUGUCCCCUGACCCCUUCCUAGUGUUGUGAGAUGCCUGAAGCUAUUAGGAUACCAAUCAUCUGGGUCAGAGGGAAACACUGAAAAUGAUAGGCCAAGCAUACAUGAAUUGUGUAAGGGAGUAAGUCUGGGCAGUCCUGCUACAGGGUAUAGAAAAUAGCAAACACUCCAGAUAUUAUGAGAGUUUUAAAAACUGUAUUGUAUAAUGUAAAUCUAUAAUCUGUUGACUUUUUAUUUAUGCUAAUACAUUUUAUUCUGAAAUAAAAUCUUUAGAUGGCAAUUGCAUGAGAAAAUAGAAACGGGAAUUUAAAGUAAUAAGUGCAGAGUUUCCAUUUCUCAAGAAAGUAGAUGAUGCACUUGGAACUGGAGCAAAAUGUGUUUCAGUAUUUACCAUCUACCUAGAGUACUGAACUGACCCUAUGACAAUCGGAAAACGUAAAUCUACAAUACAAGCAGCAGCAUUUUAAGAAGAAGAUGCCCAAAGACAACCUCAAACACAUGCAAGUGUAAAUGUGGACUGACUAUAUAUCAAUCUAUAAAGCAUUUGUUUUUAAUUUGGAUAAUUUACUAUUUUAAAUUAAUCCUGCCAAUCCAUUCUAAGAAGUUUUUGGUGGUCGUGUGUGUGUUUAACCGUGGGGAGAGUAAAGAGAAAGCUGUCAAUAUAGGCACUCCAUGAGGAAGCGAACCAGUAAGUGAUGCCUUACGUUAAUUGCAUUGUUUUCAGAAAUUUCAAACAGAAAAGCAGCUCCGCUAAUUCUGACAAAAGUUUGAUUUUGUUUUUCAUCUGACUCAUGGAAUCAAAGUAAAGCUGUUGAAAUUCAUUCUACCAAAGGUCAAAGAUCUGACUUUACUGUGAAUGCUGCUAUAAGUUCAAAGUUCAACGUUGAAGAUACUUUUUUUUCUUUUUCUUUUUUUGUCUUUUUUGCCAUUUCUUGGGCCGCUCCCACGGCAUAUGGAGGUUCCCAGGAAAAGGGUCGAAUCAGAGCUGUAGCCACCAGCCUAUGCCAGAGCCAUAGCAACAGGGGAUCUGAGCCAUGUCUGCAACCUACACUUACACAACGCCGGAUCCUUAACCCACUGAGCAAGGGUAGGGAUCAAACCCGCAAUCUCAUGGUUCCUAGUCAGCUUCGUUAACCAUUGAGCCACGACGGGAACUCCAAUAUUUUUUUCUUGUGUGAUAAUAUAAAUUUAAAAAUGGGCGGAGCACAACAUAAUAGUAAAAAAGCAAUGUUCUUACUAAACAACCUAUGGAGAAAAAAAUGUACUUGGAAUUGGUCAUGAAGCACAGAUAAUUCAUGAAUGUUGUCAAACCGGGGAAAUAUGCCACUAAUCACAACUGAAAAUAUAAAUGUCAAAAUUUAUACAUAUCAAGGAAUAUACCAUGGAACUACAAUUUUCUUUUUUUGCAACAAAGUGAUGUUUUCUAAAAAAAAAAAGCUCAGCCUCAUAACAAUGUAAUAUUCCUUCUUCACUGAUCCUCUUGGAUCUGAUUUUAGAAUAUUAGAGCCUUUGCAAACAACUUGUAAAUCAGUCUCAAUCUCUAGUAUGAAUUGAAUGUUUUUGUAAACAAUCCCCCUGAAAUGUGAUAGCAUUUGUUCAAAAUGAGUUGGAAAUCUUCAACACCUAUUUCAAUUAAUAGAGUGCCCAAGACUUCAACUGUUGAAUAUUUUAGUAAAUUGCAAUUAUAGAAAAUAAAGCUUAGGAGUUCCCAUUGUGGUGCAGCAGAAACAAAUCCUACUAGUAUCCAUGAGGCUAUGGGUUCAAUCCCUGGCCUCGCUCAGUGGGUCAGGGAUCCUGAGUUUACCAUGAGCUAUGGUGUAGGUCACAGACACGGCUCGGAUCCAGAGUUGCUGUGGCUGUGGCAUUUGCCAGCAGCUCCAAUUCGAUACCUAGCUUGGGAACUUCCAUAUGCU
This 5176-nucleotide long non-coding RNA is filed under the name Sus scrofa (pig). RNAcentral describes it as "lncRNA (ENSSSCG00000055495.1)". The record is from RNAcentral. Lineage: Eukaryota; Metazoa; Chordata; Mammalia; Artiodactyla; Suidae.